RNAcentral lists this small RNA (302 nucleotides) under Drosophila pseudoobscura pseudoobscura. Its description in RNAcentral is "GA31756". The record is from RNAcentral. Lineage: Eukaryota; Metazoa; Arthropoda; Insecta; Diptera; Drosophilidae.
CUCUGCGCGAUCACCUGUCUCUGUGAUCAGCUGCUAGGCGGGAAGCUCCAGUCGAAAACAGAAAGCAGAAAAGUUGUGUGAAAAUUGUUUUUCUUUCGCUAUCAAUGUGAAUAUUUUUGGAUAUCCCGCGCGGAACGCACUGAUUUGGCCCCUGCAACCUGGCGGGAUGUCUGCAAGGCCGGAUUUCGUACACAGCAUGGCACGGAUUUAUAACCGGAAAUCUUGAAGCUCGUGUUGGACGCAACCGCAUUGGAAAAAAGCUCAAACUUUUCUGAUAAUCGCUCAGUUUUCUAUUUACAUAU